GACGUAGGGUGCAAGCGUUGUCCGGAUUUAUUGGGCGUAAAGAGCUCGUAGGCGGCUUGUUGCGUCGACUGUGAAAACCCGCGGCUUAACCGCGGGCUUGCAGUUGAUACGGGCAGGCUAGAGUUCGGUAGGGGAGACUGGAAUUCCUGGUGUAGCGGUGAAAUGCGCAGAUAUCAGGAGGAACACCGAUGGCGAAGGCAGGUCUCUGGGCAUUAACUGACGCUGAGGAGCGAAAGCAUGGGGAGCGAACAGG
RNAcentral lists this ribosomal RNA (253 nucleotides) under uncultured bacterium. Its description in RNAcentral is "partial 16S ribosomal RNA". It matches the Rfam family "Bacterial small subunit ribosomal RNA", at positions 524 to 776 of the family's 1533-position model. The record is from RNAcentral.